RNAcentral lists this long non-coding RNA (389 nucleotides) under Vigna radiata. RNAcentral's name for it is "long non-coding RNA (VRAD_LNC017709)". Lineage: Eukaryota; Viridiplantae; Streptophyta; Magnoliopsida; Fabales; Fabaceae. The record is from RNAcentral.
CUAAUUACCGAAGGAUUCUUACCGAAGGUUUCUGGGCCUUCGGUAAAAGCUGAUAUACCGAAGGCUUUCGCCCCUCGGUAAUNGGCAGCGAUUUUGUCACGUUAUAUGGCGCUUACCGAGGGCUUAUGCCCUUCGGUAAUGGGCAGCGUUUUUAUCGAAGGAUUUUUGCCCGUCGGUAUAUUCAUUCACUUAAUGAAAUCAAAAUUUGGUUGGGAUACCAGACUUCCAUUUUCCCCAAUUUUUUCCUCAGCGAAAGCUUUCCCCUAACUUUCAGACCCAAUUUUUCUUCAAUCUCCCCGGCCCUUCUUUCUCGACUCAUUACUUCUGAUCAGAGGGUGCUGUCGGAGCAUGAGGAGGUGUUGUCACUAGGUCAGAGGGUGGUGUCGCGG